Molecule: long non-coding RNA, 767 nt
Filed under: Dasypus novemcinctus (nine-banded armadillo)
Lineage: Eukaryota; Metazoa; Chordata; Mammalia; Cingulata; Dasypodidae
Description: lncRNA (ENSDNOG00000050786.1)
Source: RNAcentral
GAGGAAAGAGAUUUCCCUGGGUAGAUCUGAGGGUUUGGACAUCACAAUUCGGCUGGACUUCUUUACCCUUGCCAAUCAACUGUCGUCUUUAGGAAAAGGAAAUCCCAGGCAAGAAUGAGCAACGGCGGGGAGCUUCCUACAUCCUAGCUCCUGGGAAUUCCAUAAGAAACCUUUCCUGCCAGCCCACGAGUCGCCCAGAUCGGAUUAGCUUCUGUGAAGGUCGAAGGCAGUUACGGGAGGGAUUGGGGAGCGCGGCGCUUGGGGGCGCCAGUGGCAGCCGCGGCACCAAGUGCGGACGCGGUGCAGGACACACAAGCUGUCCCAGGCUAGCUCCAGGCUUGGAGAGGUUUGGCCACUUAGCAUCAAGGCUUCCAAAACAAUUUUAAGAUAGUCUCAUCCUUGCUGGGGGGAGGAGGGAGUGGGGGUGGGAGGAGAGUGGGAGAAGUGGGCGAGGGAAGGCGUUGUCCGGAAGUUGUUGCAUUUCUCCUUUUCAGGCACCGGGAAAUCGAGGCUGUGCACGUCGCGAUUUGGAGUUAAAAGAACCCUCAAAAUCCUGGACCAGCAGUGGAAAGGUGUAGAAACAAGAAGGAGAAGCCAGGCACUGCAAGUGGGAAGUCAUGGAAGAUGGCAGGGAGCUGCGAGAAGGCCCAGGAUUGGAAUCCACCAUAGCUACCCUGAGGGAGGUGAUGCAGAAGAUGGGAGAUACAUCUCAUUCUGUCCUAGUUUACAUUUGUUUUGUUGUCUGUAUUGUCUGUACAUAUCUGGUA